CAAAUUACUUUAGUAAGACGAUCUCAGGCCCAUAACACAAUGAGCAGCCCAAAUUUUUAAAUUAUACGUUUAAGAAGAAGAGACUGUGUAGACAUACAGUGUUUGACCAGUAUAUUAUUUCUGACCACACCCGAUUUGGCACUCAAUUACGAAGAAGAACCGCUGCUAGCAGAAAUGGAUCUGAAUAUGAAAGUCAAAGGGCCGGUGCAGUGCCGUAAAUAUAAAAUAUGCAACAUAGGUGGUACAUUUAGCAGCUUUAUGCUAAUAGUAGACAUAUAGGUCAACGAAGAGGAUUAUCUAUAAGUUUCACUUUACAACGCAAGUGUAAACCGAUAAGAAAGUGUUAAUUUGACAAUUGUCGGCGCUGUCGGUGGGAGCCAAGUGGCGGCAUUAUUCGGUUGAUUAACGUUGAAGAAGAUAUUGGGUUGUCCCGGUACUUAGCACCAUGCCAUGAUGAGACGUGGCCGAGUGGAGGCAAAGCUUCACGUAGUAAUCUCGGCACUAGAUGGAGAUGGCUUCCUGGUUAUUCACUAUCAUGGUCAUCCACUGGGGUUGGCAACUGGGAAUUUGUUCAGCAGCAGGUGGAACAGAAUCUAUCACCCUCCUUAUUCAAAAGUAUUCUGAUUCUACGGGGAUUAUAACCAUUGAGCAGAUGCAACAUAUCCUUGACCGAAUUCACAAUUGUUCAUCUGACAGUAAUAAUGUAGACACUGCCAAUUCUGUGCGAAGAAACUGCGCAUCUAAUGAAGACUGCAGCCAUAUGAACAAUACAUGUCUGUCAGCAGUAGACCUGUUUAGGAAGCUGAAUAUAAAAGAUGGGAAACUGAACAUUACUUCAUUUGAACUUGCCUGUCCUGUGAUCUUGGAACACUUAGAGAGUCAAGUCUGCAGCAGAGAACAACUUGGUCCAGACAAUGCUGACUUGAAAACUAAGCCAUCUGAAACUGAAGUGUGGGGACUGGGUUUCCUCUUCGUUACAAUAAUCAGUCUGUGCUCUCUGCUGGGUGUCAGUGUAUUGCCUCUCAUGGAUAAGGUCUUCUACAAGCAGCUGCUUACUGCUCUGAUUGGCCUUGCUGUUGGCUCUCUUGCAGCAAGUUCGCUCUUUCAUCUGAUCCCACAGGCAUUUGGUCUCAUGAACUCGGACAUAUACCACCAUUACUUAAAUCGGUCGUUGAUGAUGUGGGCAGGUAUCUGGGUAUUCUUCAUGACUGAAAGGAUUAUGAAAAUGAUAACUGAUAACAGACAGAAAAAUGGACGUCCUUCAGCAUGCCAAUAUCCAACCAAUGAAUUGUCUGUGGAAGUUGUGUCAAGCAUCUCAAGUCCCACGGAGCUCGUUCCCCAUAUUCAUCAUGAACUGGAGCCCCUUCAAGUACAUGAGUGCUCAGAACAGCAUGUGCGUCAGGAAGCCAACUGCCUUCAAACAAAUCCUGGAAUUAUAUAUGACUACCAGGAGCAAGCUAUAAAGGCUUCUUUUGGCCACCAGGAGAAACCUCGACUCAGCCAUGCACAUGGACAUGAGCAUUUGAUGCAUUUUGAACAAGGAAAGGACAGUGCCAUUGCAACAGUUGCUUGGAUGGUUGUGUUUGGUGAUGGGCUUCACAAUUUUAUUGAUGGAUUAUCCAUUGGUGCAGCAUUCAAUGAGAGCUUGCUCACUGGUAUCAGCAUAAGUGUGGCUGUAAUGUGUGAGGAGUUUCCUCAUGAGUUAGGUGAUUUUGCAGUACUUUUAAAUGCUGGCAUGACAAUGAAGCAGGCUCUUAUCUACAACUUCCUAUCUGCUUGCACAUGUUACAUUGGUUUGGUGUUUGGGAUCAUGCUAGGUGAAAUUGAAGCCAGCAGUUAUAUCUUUGGGUUUGCAGCUGGAAUGUUCAUGUACAUAUCACUUGUAGACAUGGUCCCAGAAAUGAAUGAGGUAGCAGAAGAGGCUAGCAAAGUAAGCUUGAAGAAAGCCUUCCAGACCUUGCUGUUGCAGAACAUUGGCAUGGGUAUAGGUGUUUUAGCUCUCUAUAUACUGGCACGUUAUCAAGACAGCAUCAAUUUCGGUUGAAGAAUUCAACUCUGUUAAGACUCCUGUUUUCAGAACAAUGUUUGACUGAAAUUAGUUCACUAGUGUGUGUGUUUAUGUGCUAAAAUAUGAAUUUGACUCAUGUAAUAGACUGCAUUUACAUUUCAGAAGGCCCCUUUAAAAGAAGUGAAGGAAUCUCUGAAUUUGCUACCUGCAUAUAAUGAUUUAUGUGGAUUUCAUAGGACUGAACAAAUAACGUACAUCUGUAUAUACUUCGGUGAAGCUACGUUCUUUUACUUUAUCUUAUCAAAUACGUAUAAUGAGCACUCUAAAAGUUGAAAGGUUGAAUUGAAGAUAAAAUUUUUUUCAUAGUGAUUUGACAUAUUUAUUGAUUAGUUUCCAAAUACAAUAAAUACCUAUCCAUGUAUUAAUACUUAAUAUAAGCCUGCCUAAAUGGUUUAUGCAAUUGAUGUUAUUUAUUAGGCAACUGUAAAAAUCGUCUUAUGACAAGAAGAAAAGAAGCAGUAUAUCGACCAUCGGCAGGAGAUAGUCUCAUAAAUUAUAAACAUUUUUGCAUAAGAAAUUGAUACAUAUAUUAUCACUUAUAAUGAACUGGGCCAGUCAUUCUGCUACAGUAACUUAGCUACAGAUCCAGUUUCUUGUCAUUUAUAAACAAAAUCUCAAGCAUAGAGAAUGUAUUUUAGAAAAGGAAAUGAAAAACAAUAUGGCCUUGCCCUACCCAUUGUGUGCUUCUGGUGGUUGGAUUUACAGGCUGUAAGCAGCUCUCGCAAUAGAGCUGUCAAGUGGUUCCUCUGUCAGCAUUCCCUUGAAGUCUUUCCAACUGUAGGCUGAAAACCUUGUAAAGCUUCCUGUGCUCUAAAAUGUCUUCCAUACACCAAGUAAGUGACUGCUGAUAGAUUAAUUUUGCACGGUGACAGUGAUGCUUACCUAACAGGUAAAGUAAGGGAACAUUGGAUGAAAGUAAUGCAGAAAAUGAGGAAGGCAACACCGUACAGUCAGACAACAGCUUGAGUGAGACUUAUGAGGAUGGAGAUUUCCUAGGUGACUGCUGUAGUUUGGAAGGCGAAACUGUAUUGUCAGACAACAGCUUGCACAAGACACAUGAGGACGGAGGUGUUCUAGGAGACUGCAGUAGUUUGGAAGGCGAAACUGUAUUGUCAGACAACAGCUUGCACAAGACACAUGAGGACGGAGGUGUAGUUUGGAAAGCAAUGAAGCACCUAGAGUAUCCUUAUUUAUGAAUUUUUGAUGGUGGAAAGUAUCAUGUCUAUUUGAAGACACCUGACAGAGAUGAAUGUCUCGUGUGAUCAGCGUAUGUACGCUCUGUAUGGAUGUUCUAUGUAGACCUGUGUUUUAAAUUCUAUCACAGAUUUGACUUUUGAAUAUUGGACAGACGUCUGACACCAUAAUAUGUGAUAUGUUUGCAUACAUGUGAAUAUAUAAAUAUUCACAUAUUUUUAUAAUGUUUCAGAUUUAUACCCAUUUCCAGAGGACACAAAAAAUAUUCAUGUAUAAAUAAUUUAAAGCAUGAAAACAUGUUUAGUUAUCAUUCAAGACACAUUUUGUUUUAGGUUUUUGUUCACAGUACUGGAAAAGUUAACUUUUAAUUGAAUUAGAAACUGCAAAUUUAAAUCUGGCCAGGGCAUUUAAAUUUAAUAUAAUAAGAGAUCAGUACUUUUUUGAAUUGUUCAUUGAAAUUUGUUAUUUAAAUAUAAAUUUUAUGAAGUUUUCAGAAUAAUGUGUAUGUGAUAAUAUACUAUAAAAAUCACUGGUUUUCAUGGAACUGUUCACUCUUAGAAUGGUCAGUACUUUUAGAUUUAUCACAUUCAUUGCAUUUGCUUCCUAGCUUGUCUGAUUCAAACUGUAUGCCAUCAUCUGCCCUAUUCAUUACAUUAGGUGUGCAGUUAGAGGAAGUGCAAGAUUUCUAGAUGUCAACAGUUCAUUUUACUUCUUUGAGCAGCCCUUAAAAAAGUCUUACCACAUUAAUAUUAAUAUUUAACUGUUCCUCGGCACCAAAAAAUAAGGCUUAUGUUGUCAAGAAUCAGCAUCAUUGAUUUGCUGAAAGACAUUUUUUCUCCAAACAUAUUUAAAUUAGUCUUGAACUAAAUUUUUAUACCUCCAUUGUUAGAUUCAGCAGAAAUAUUAUACCUGGAGGAAAGUGUUCCUUUUUCAAAGUUUUCAUGUUUGAAACAAUGCAGGGAGGCAGUUUCAUCUCAACUGCUGAAACAGUGAGCUUCAAAAUGAUUGUUUCCAUCUCGAUCUUGCUGCUCUGAAGGACUGAAUUGGUUUCUUUAAUUGUAACUGUUGUAUUUCACCCCUGAGUGACAUCUGAGAUAUUCUGCACAUUGGUAUCGCCACUGUGGGCAUCCUUUGUAAGGCUGAUUUUUAAGAUGUUUCAUAAGUGUUUGAUGUAUACAGUGGACCCAACGUAAGAAAAUUCCAUUUAAAAUGGUGUCUUGCCUACAAAGUUAAAAUUAUUGGGUCCAAAAAGUAGUAACAAAAGAAUAAUGUAUUUAUAUCCUGUUUAAAACGUUUCCUGCAAUAAAAGGUAUUCCUGCUGAAGAACAGUGAUUUUAAAGACACUUAUGAAACAUUUUACCCGUUUAAUGUAUUUCUGUUGGAUUAUGCGUACACAGUGUUGUAAUGAAGUUCCCGGACUGACGCUAUUACAGGAAUAUUACUAAUUCCAUCUAUUGGGAAUGAACAGGAAUAGUUAGAGAGAAAGUCUAUUUGAAUGAUGUGCAAGUUUGGUUGCUGCAUAUGAGGAUUACAAUUGUUUUGGUGAAGUUAGCUUUUUGUCGUGUUGAAGGUUUCAAAAUGAAACAAAGUAGCUAUGGAGUUUUGUGUAAAAUUAAAGAAAAUAGCUACUGACAUGUUUGAAAUGUUGGAAAGUGUGUAUGGUGAAGAAUGUUUAUUGAUAACAAGUGUGUUUGAAUGCAUAAAAGGUACAUAGAAGCUCAGAAUGUGAGAAUGCAAAAAUCGUGGGUGAAAACAAUGUUGACUGCAUUUUUUGAUGAUAAAGUUAUUAUUCAUUAUGAAUUUGCAUUGGAAAAACAGACUGUAAAUGGUAUAAUUUCACAAAGAGGUGAUUAAGAAAUUGGUUGCUCAAGUUCAUCGUGUUAGGGCUGAGUUUCAGGAAAGUUGGCCAUGGUAUCUUUUGCACAACAAUGCACCAGCAUCCCACCAGGGAUCCCCAUCUUAUCCCAUCUUCUCUACUUCCCUCAUUUAGCACCGACUGACUUUUUUCUAUUCCCUGAAUUAAAAAUGUUGAUGAAAGGGAGGAGAUUCAAGGCUGUUUCAUUAAUCCAACAGACUGAUAAGAGAACUGAAGGUGACAUGGAAAGAAGCAUUUUCUCGGGCAUUUAGUUCAUUGUAUGAGCAAUGUAAACAUUGUGUGGAAGUGGGUGGGGACUAUAUUGAGUGAUGGUAUUAAUACACAUUUUUAUCGUUUUUGUGUGUUUUUAUGGCCUCAGUUCUGGAACUUAAUUGUCACACUGUAUAUACAGAAAUAAAUCGGAAAUACAGUAAAUGCUCACAUAAAUCAAACGUUACAGUGCUUAGCAGCACUCAGUUGCACUUGGUGAGUGGUGGAAGAUGGGUGGAAUUAGUGGUGAUUUUCUGACCUCUAUCCAUAUAGCUGGUAGCAUGGUCUUUUUCGAACAAGUAUGUUGAAUUUUAUGAGGUUGCAUGGACGUAAACUGGAAUGUGUGUUAUAUAUGGCUAUGAAAACAAACAUAAAUCAUAAGGUGUUACCAGUUUCUGAGAAACUGUAGGUCAUUAAGAAGGUGAAUUUUCGCCCAUAUGUGAUGUGCACAAAUGUUAUGGAACAGCUUAGCAUAAUAGUAUUAUUGAUAAGUAGCAUUAUGGCAAACACACAAAAAAAAAACUUAAGCAAUGUAACUACUCAACCAGUCAGAGAAAAUUUAAAAACUUUUAAAUAUAAGAAGACUGAAUCAA
Cryptotermes secundus is the source of this 5980-nucleotide RNA transcript. It is a transcript of the gene named zinc transporter ZIP14, with no coding region annotated. NCBI's taxonomy places the organism in Eukaryota, Metazoa, Arthropoda, Insecta, Blattodea, Kalotermitidae. The record is from RefSeq and is a predicted model, not a curated record. The transcript has 11 exons.